This 293-nucleotide ribosomal RNA is filed under the name uncultured bacterium. RNAcentral's name for it is "partial 16S ribosomal RNA". It matches the Rfam family "Archaeal small subunit ribosomal RNA", at positions 455 to 747 of the family's 1478-position model. The record is from RNAcentral.
GUGCCAGCAGUCGCGGUAAUACCGGCAGCACAAGUGAUGGCCGAUAUUAUUGGGCCUAAAGCGUCCGUAGCUGGCCAGACAAGUCCGUUGGGAAAUCGACGUGCUCAACGCGUCGGCGUCCAGCGGAAACUGUCUGGCUUGGGACCGGAAGACCCGAGGGGUACGUCCGGGGUAGGAGUGAAAUCCCGUAAUCCUGGACGGACCACCGGUGGCGAAAGCGCCUCGGGAAGACGGAUCCGACAGUGAGGGACGAAAGCUGGGGUCUCGAACCGGAUUAGAAACCCUUGUAGUCC